RNAcentral lists this ribosomal RNA (254 nucleotides) under uncultured bacterium. Its description in RNAcentral is "partial 16S ribosomal RNA". It matches the Rfam family "Bacterial small subunit ribosomal RNA", at positions 524 to 776 of the family's 1533-position model. The record is from RNAcentral.
UACGUAGGCAGCAAGCGUUGUUCGGAGUUACUGGGCGUAAAGGGUGUGUAGGCGGUUGUUUAAGUUUGGUGUGAAAUCUCCCGGCUCAACUGGGAGGGUGCGCCGAAUACUGAAUGACUUCGAGUGCGGGAGAGGAGAGUGGAAUUCCUGGUGUAGCGGUGAAAUGCGUAGAUAUCAGGAGGAACACCGGCGGUGUAGACGGCUCUCUUGACCGUAACUGACGCUGAGACACGAAAGCGUGGGUAGCAAACAGG